UCUCUACUACAUUUCGUCUA
Molecule: non-coding RNA, 20 nt
Filed under: Arabidopsis thaliana (thale cress)
Lineage: Eukaryota; Viridiplantae; Streptophyta; Magnoliopsida; Brassicales; Brassicaceae
Source: RNAcentral